AAGGGGAUGCUUAGUAGCGGCGAGUGAAGCGGCAAAAGCUCAAAUUUGAAAUCUGGUACUUUCAGUAUCCGAGUUGUAAUUUGUAGAAGCAACUUUGGUGAUGGUCUUUGCAUAAGUUCCUUGGAAUAGGACGUCAUAGAGGGUGAGAAUCCCGUUUAUGGUGAAGAACCCACACUAUGUAAAGUGCUUUCGAAGAGUCGAGUUGUUUGGGAAUGCAGCUCAAAGUGGGUGGUAAAUUCCAUCUAAAGCUAAAUAUUGGCGAGAGACCGAUAGCGAACAAGUACUGUGAAGGAAAGAUGAAAAGAACUUUGAAAAGAGAGUGAAAAAGUACGUGAAAUUGUUGAAAGGGAAGGGAUCUAAAUCAGACAUGGUAUUUUGUGAUCAACAGUCUUUCGGGACUGUGCACUCGCAUUUUACUAGGCCAGCAUCGGUUAGAAGGGGGUAAAAAAGAUUUUGGAAUGUGGCUCCUCGGAGUGUUAUAGCCAAGGUUAAUUGCCCCAUUUCUGACCGAGGACCGCGUCUUUUGACUAGGAUGCUGGCGUAAUGGUUUUGAUCCACCCGUCUUGAAACACGGACCAAGGAGUCUAACGUCUAUGCGAGUGUUUGGGUGUAAAACCCGUACGCGUAAUGAAAGUGAACGUAGGUGAGAGCCUUUUUAAGGUGCAUCAUCGACCGAUCCUGAUGUUUUCAGAUGGAUUUGAGUAAGAGCAUAGCUGUUGGGACCCGAAAGAUGGUGAACUAUGCCUGAAUAGGGUGAAGCCAGAGGAAACUCUGGUGGAGGCUCGUAGCGGUUCUGACGUGCAAAUCGAUCGUCAAAUUUGGGUAUAGGGGCGAAAGACUAAUCGAACCAUCUAGUAGCUGGUUCCUGCCGAAGUUUCCCUCAGGAUAGCAGAAGCUCGUAUCAGUUUUAUGAGGUAAAGCGAAUGAUUAGAGGUAUUGGGAUUGAAACGAUCUUGACCUAUUCUCAAACUUUGAAUAUGUAAGAAGUCCUUGUUACUUAAUUGAACGUGGACAUUGAAUGAAGAGCUUUUAGUGGGCCAUUUUUAGAAAAAAAAAA
RNAcentral lists this ribosomal RNA (1057 nucleotides) under Zygoascus meyerae. Its description in RNAcentral is "partial large subunit ribosomal RNA". It matches the Rfam family "Eukaryotic large subunit ribosomal RNA", at positions 69 to 1150 of the family's 3401-position model. Lineage: Eukaryota; Fungi; Ascomycota; Dipodascomycetes; Dipodascales; Trichomonascaceae. The record is from RNAcentral.